CAGUCGCCACGGGAAUACGAGGGGGGCAAGCGUUGUUCGGAAUUAUUGGGCGUAAAGGGCGCGUAGGCGGUUUGGCAAGUUUGGUGUGAAAUCUUCGGGCUCAACUCGAAGUCUGCAUCGAAAACUGCCGGGCUUGAGUGUGGGAGAGGUGAGUGGAAUUUCCAGUGUAGCGGUGAAAUGCGUAGAUAUCGGAAGGAACACCUGUGGCGAAAGCGGCUCACUGGACCACAACUGACGCUGAGGCGCGAAAGCAUGGGGAGCAAACAGGAUUAGAUACCCCUGUAGUCCCUGUCUCUUAUAA
RNAcentral lists this ribosomal RNA (301 nucleotides) under uncultured bacterium. RNAcentral describes it as "partial 16S ribosomal RNA". It matches the Rfam family "Bacterial small subunit ribosomal RNA", at positions 509 to 809 of the family's 1533-position model. The record is from RNAcentral.